RNAcentral lists this ribosomal RNA (231 nucleotides) under uncultured bacterium. RNAcentral's name for it is "partial 16S ribosomal RNA". It matches the Rfam family "Bacterial small subunit ribosomal RNA", at positions 99 to 334 of the family's 1533-position model. The record is from RNAcentral.
CGGACGGGUGAGUAAUGUCUGGGAACUGCCUGAUGGAGGGGGAUAACUACUGGAAACGGUAGCUAAUACCGCAUAACGUCGCAAGACCAAAGAGGGGGACCUUCGGGCCUCUUGCCAUCGGAUGUGCCCAGAUGGGAUUAGCUAGUAGGUGGGGUAACGGCUCACCUAGGCGACGAUCCCUAGCUGGUCUGAGAGGAUGACCAGCCACACUGGAACUGAGACACGGUCCAG